AUGGUUCAACUGAUGGAACAUUAUCCAACCACAAUAAAAAGAUUUGGAUUGCGCAAGUUUUGCAGUGCUGCCUUUUACCUGAUGGUGAAACUUAGUUCCGGCCAUAAAUCCGAGGGAGACACAAGAACGGUCAAGAGGUCAGGUUCUGGCGGGGAACAAGCAUGACAUAAAGCCUGUGCUUGAUGCCGUCAUCAUUUCUGCCUGCAAAGGUUAUGUCUGGAUGUGGUGCAAAGACCACAGCAAAACAGUGCCAGAUGACACCUCCUUCAACAAGGCCGUGACACUCCAAAUAGACUACUCCAGGAAAUAAAUGAAAUCAUCUUGGAAUUUAGACUAAAAAUAGGGGGUGUUAGAUUGUUUAAUUUUUACCCUGUCAUAAUGUGAUCAAUUCAACAACAACAAAAAUAUUGGUACUGUCAGUAUAUUUCAUUGUGUACAUUUUAUUGUUUACAUUUUAUAAUCUCAUUAAAAAAAUGUUAUUUAU
Long non-coding RNA from Dreissena polymorpha, 484 nucleotides. RefSeq lists it as uncharacterized. Lineage: Eukaryota; Metazoa; Mollusca; Bivalvia; Myida; Dreissenidae. The record is from RefSeq and is a predicted model, not a curated record. The transcript has 3 exons.